UACGGAGGGUGCAAGCGUUAUCCGGAUUCACUGGGUUUAAAGGGUGUGUAGGCGGGUAUUUAAGUCAGUGGUGAAAUCUCCGGGCUCAACCCGGAAACUGCCAUUGAUACUAUUUAUCUUGAAUAUUGUUGAGGUAGGCGGAAUAUAUCAUGUAGCGGUGAAAUGCUUAGAUAUGAUAUAGAACACCGAUUGCGAAGGCAGCUUACUAAACAAUUAUUGACGCUGAGGCACGAAAGCGUGGGGAUCAAACAGG
RNAcentral lists this ribosomal RNA (253 nucleotides) under uncultured bacterium. Its description in RNAcentral is "partial 16S ribosomal RNA". It matches the Rfam family "Bacterial small subunit ribosomal RNA", at positions 524 to 776 of the family's 1533-position model. The record is from RNAcentral.